RNAcentral lists this signal recognition particle RNA (265 nucleotides) under Bacillota bacterium. RNAcentral's name for it is "Firmicutes bacterium (compost metagenome) signal recognition particle sRNA large type". It matches the Rfam family "Bacterial large signal recognition particle RNA". From Rfam's summary of the family: The signal recognition particle (SRP) is a universally conserved ribonucleoprotein involved in the co-translational targeting of proteins to membranes. Archaeal SRP consists of a 7S RNA and homologues of the eukaryotic SRP19 and SRP54 proteins. Lineage: Bacteria; Bacillati; Bacillota. The record is from RNAcentral. RNAcentral also lists the same sequence under 1 other name.
CCGUGCUAAGCGGGGAGGUAGCGGUGCCCUGUACCCGCAAUCCGCUAUAGCGGGGCUGAAUUCCCUCCCGAGGUCGCAUCGCUUUGGGGUCCGGAGCCUGCAAGUGGCGUUGAGGGCCGGGUCUUGUGCAACGGGACCUCGUGAACCCCGUCAGGUCCGGAAGGAAGCAGCGGUAAGCGAGAGCUCUCGUGUGCCGCGAGGGUGCCUGGCCUGAGCUAACUGCAGGAGUGCCGCUCGGGGCGGUCGAUCGACGGCGGGUGCACGG